GUAUAGUGCCGGAAGAUUGGAGAGAAGCAAACGUUAUUCCCUUGUUCAAAAAACGGAAUAACGAUAACCCCAGAAAUUACAGGGCAUGAAUACUUUGGGAAUCAUUCAAAAAAAGAGUGAAAUAAAGAUUCAAAAAGGACUUGGUCCAGUCUCUUCGAACGCCUGCAGAAUUGCUUGAUGUAUGUGAAAGGAUUUUUGAAUGCAUGACUGAAAGCCACGAAUGGAAAGUCAGAAGUCUCCCAAGAGGAAGCAGAAAAGAUGGAAUUUUCUGUAUAAAUGGGGAUGAUUUGAUCUCCCUAAAAUGAAUUGAACCGUGAUCUUUGAGCACCUGCCCUUGAGGAUAACCACGUAGAUCUGAACAGCUCUCGACCCUGGUUGAUUGGGAAUCUCCGCUGGGAACAGGAUUGCAUUCACUGCACUGCUCAGUGUGAGCAGCUCCCCCUGCAGUGCGAAGCCACAUGGAUGCUGAGUUCAAUUCCCCGCCUCGUCUGCCAUGGUCAACAGAGGUGAGGAUUACUCCUGGGGAAGGUUCCUGGUCUUGGGGAUCAAUGUGUGACACAUGAGCCAGGUCUCAGGGUCAAGGUACCAAAGAGCGGGCUGUUGGGCAAAGGCUGCAGGAGUCACAUUCUUUCAACUGGCAAGAGUUCAUGAGAACACAAAGGGAAAGUGUAUCAGAUGCCUCAGCGAUCCGAACUUUGCCCUUGCUGCCUCUCAGACAGCGUUCAAGGACACUCAGUGACUGAUGUGGGACCGAACAGGAGCUGUGAUCUCAUGUUGAUCAAUGGUAGGUGAUAAACAGAUGGAAAUCAAAGGAGAGGAGGAGUCAGGUGGGGACACAGCAGGAGGUGGUGAAUUCAAAGGCAGCGCAAGCCUUCCGCCUCAUAAAGAAACCUUAUCUCGCUCAAGCUCUGCCGGCUUCUUUGAUGUAUCUGCCAGUUUUCGUACUGUACUCGUCAAUAAUGAUCUGGAAACUCUCAUAAACCUGGGCAGAGGGAUGCAACAAUGGCUGGUACUGUUAUAGCUGCUUUAACAUACAGCAAAACACCAUAACAUUUCACAGGAGCUUUACAUGAUCCCUGAGCGUGGGGAUGGUCAGUGAGCCCUUGCGUGGACUGAGGAUGGUGGGCAGCCUGGAGCGGAGUGGGGACUGUCAACGGGCCCUGGGGCGGACUGAGGAUGGUGGGCAGCCCAGAGCAGAGUGGAGUGGGGAUGGUCAGUGGGACCUGGAGUGAAAAUGGCUCCUGGUUGGGAACUGGUGGACCCCAGUCAUAUGUGGAAGCUCUUAUAGACUGUAAUGGCUAUCUUUUUAGCUUUAUUUCUUAUUUUCCUAACUUAUACAUAUGUAUGUAUAACUGUAAUGUAGUGUAACAUUUUCUCUUUAUUUUCUGUGUUUUGUACCUAGGUACUUUGUGCCUAGGAUAGUGCCGUGUGUUGGCGACAUUGUGCACUUUUCACUGUACUCCUGUUCUUUCAUAACUUAAGUACACGUAACAAUAAAUCUAAUUCAAUU
Molecule: long non-coding RNA, 1510 nt
Organism: Rhincodon typus (whale shark)
Lineage: Eukaryota; Metazoa; Chordata; Chondrichthyes; Orectolobiformes; Rhincodontidae
Exons: 3
Source: RefSeq, a predicted model, not a curated record